GCCUCCAUGGCCCAAUGGACAAGGCACUAGUCUAUUGAAUCAGAGAUUUUAAGUUCGAUUCUCAGUAGAGUUG
This 73-nucleotide transfer RNA is filed under the name Morus notabilis. It matches the Rfam family "tRNA". From Rfam's summary of the family: Transfer RNA (tRNA) molecules are approximately 80 nucleotides in length. Their secondary structure includes four short double-helical elements and three loops (D, anti-codon, and T loops). The record is from Rfam by way of RNAcentral. Lineage: Eukaryota; Viridiplantae; Streptophyta; Magnoliopsida; Rosales; Moraceae.